Molecule: ribosomal RNA, 498 nt
Filed under: uncultured Blastocystis sp.
Lineage: Eukaryota; Bigyra; Opalinata; Blastocystidae
Description: bacterial SSU rRNA
Rfam family: Eukaryotic small subunit ribosomal RNA
Source: RNAcentral
GAGGUAGUGACAAUAAAUCACAAUGCGGAACAAUGUUUUGCAAUUGGAUUGAGAACAACGUACAAACCUUAUCGAUAAACAAUUGGAGGGCAAGUCUGGUGCCAGCAGCCGCGGUAAUUCCAGCUCCAAUAGCGUAUAUUAACGUUGUUGCAGUUAAAAAGCUCGUAGUUGAAAUGAAGGGUAGUUGUGUAAUGAAUACAUUCGUGUAUUUUGUUAUUCAAGUACCCUCCUUCUAAAUUCGAUAUAUGAGUAUUAAUUUACUUGUAUAUGGUUUUAGACUUUUACUGUGAGAAAAUUAGAGUGUUCAAAGCAGGCAUUUGCUUGAAUAUAUUAGCAUGGAAUAAUCAUGUAUGAUUUUCAUGAUGUAUUUGAUUGGUUUGGUUGAUGAGAAUAAGAUUAAAAGGGACAGUUGGGGGUAUUCAUAUUCAAUAGUCAGAGGUGAAAUUCUCGGAUUUAUGGAAGAUGAACAAGUGCGAAAGCAUUUACCAAGGAUGUUUU